CGUCUGUCUCGACAACGUCUCACUCAAAUAGAGACCACCAAUCGUCGAAGAAGACGGGACAAGAAACACCGCGUAGUUUUUGAAACUAUAAUAGUAUGACUUUUUCAUACCGCGGGCACAUUACUGUCC
RNAcentral lists this ribozyme (129 nucleotides) under unclassified sequences. RNAcentral's name for it is "Hairpin ribozyme 1 from viruses-like metatranscriptomes". It matches the Rfam family "Hairpin ribozyme 1 from viruses-like metatranscriptomes". The record is from Rfam by way of RNAcentral.